AUUAAUUUAAUUAAAAAUAUUAAAAUGUCAAUUUAAAAAUACCAUUUAAGGUAUUCCUUG
RNAcentral lists this transfer RNA (60 nucleotides) under Systolederus spicupennis. RNAcentral describes it as "tRNA-Asp". Lineage: Eukaryota; Metazoa; Arthropoda; Insecta; Orthoptera; Tetrigidae. The record is from RNAcentral.